Rosa rugosa (rugosa rose) is the source of this 2177-nucleotide long non-coding RNA. RefSeq lists it as uncharacterized. The record is from RefSeq and is a predicted model, not a curated record. The transcript is spliced from 7 exons. NCBI's taxonomy places the organism in Eukaryota, Viridiplantae, Streptophyta, Magnoliopsida, Rosales, Rosaceae.
CCCAGCAGCAACAAACCCAGCAGCAACAUCUCGUAAACGUCAUGAAAGAUAAAAAACAAAAGGGACCUCACAGAUCUAGUCCUACUCUCAUCUCACCCACUUUUCCCCAAAGUCUCUCACUCCCCUACCCCGAACUUUUUAUCAUUAGCUUCUCUGCAGAUUCUCCAUUUCAAUUCGUCCUUCUUGUGAUUGGGUCGGGGUUUAAACACGUUAACGCGAAGCCUCCCCAGAUCAAAUUUGAAGUGAAAAUUGUAGGGUUUCAAAAACCCUCAAUUAGGAGAGAUAGCUAAGAUUUGGGAUUCAGGAGAGCAAUAAAUGGGUUUGGUAAUGGGCGUUUGCGUUGUUCUGAAGAGGGAGAUGCAGGGAAUGUCUCUGGAAUGUGUAGGCACACACCCACACCCACACCCACACCCUCUGAAUCUGAAUGAUGCUCUCAACUUCGGUACCGGGUCUGUUUCACUCAACUUCUUACCUCCUUUCUUCAAAUCGUUGAAUUUCAAGCUUGGGUUCUGUUUUCAAUUUUCGAUUUUUUAUUUUGUUUCUAAUUAGUCAUCCCCAAAUUGAAAAAUUAGACUUUGUUGGGACAAUAUCUUCUCAUCUCAUUCAGGUAAGAUUGUCCAUGGGUUUCUCUGAAUCGGUUGUUUUCCAAGUCUUCUUUAUUGUUUGAUAAAAUUUGGGUUGAGUGUUGGUUCAAGAUUGUUUGUAAUUUAGCUUUUGAUGAAUGCGUUUCAUUUUCAUUUUUGGGGUUUCAUUUUAAUUUAGGUUUUGGGACAUUACUGUUUACGGUUUGUUGUUUGGUUGCCCAAAAGACCACCGGCACUCUCUUAUCUCACCUUUAUGAGGUACAAUUUUCAAACUAUAAACUAUUCAAUUAAAACUUAAAAACUAUAACUCUAGGCGCUGGUCUAUAGAACCAAUCCUUUGCUCUUUCAUUUAAUAUUUGCAAACUGUGUUCAUAAUACAGUGAAUGAAUUGGCUUGAAAUCAAGUGGGGCCUUAAUCAUUUGCUCUUCUCUUAUUUAUCCUAAAGUGGCCUAAAUUACUUGAAAUCAAGAUUAGGUAGACUAGGUUUGCUUUCCAUUUAGUCAAAUCCUGAGAUUAACUUGCAUCAUUUGAAUUAUAUAGUUCUGCAAUCCCUUGACCAAGCUGCUCGAAAGGAUCUCAUUCCAAUAAAGUUGGGAGUGAAGGCAGCUAAGUUUGCCAAGCAAACAGUUAACACUCAGAUGAAAUCAUUUAAGUAUGCAAGGAUAUCCAUGGGGUAACUUGGGUUGAUGACAACAAGGCAACAAAUGUAGAAGCUACAUACACAGGACUAAUGGGUCUAAAGAGGCAAAAGUCUGUGAUCCUACUUGGUGGCCUUGCAAAGGAACUUGGAUAGUUCAAGAUAAAUUAGCCAUCACACUUCAGAGGGAUGUCACCAAAUGAACCUGGCUUUUCAUGGAAUCAUAUAAGGGAGUAAAAUUGGAUGUGACUGAGCAAGGAGAAACUGUAGAAGUUAGAGUAACAAAAGCACUUAUGGAAUAUGCAUACAUAUUUGUGUUCUUUGCGAUCUUUGAAACCGUUGAGGAAGGUAGCUAAUGAAAGCGUUGCAACUUUGUGGGAGAGAGGAUGAAUGCUGAUGCAGCUUUGGUCUUUGCCUACUACAAAGAGCUGUCACUGACCCAACAUUUAUCUUUUUCACAAUGGUACGAAGGAUAUCAAGUGAUAAGAAGUGGCACAGCUAGCUGCAAACAUACUGCAUUGGAGUAAUAUUACUCUAUAAUUAUUUGCUUUUGGGUUAGAAGUAGUCUAGUUUUGCUUGGUGUUUUCUUAAAUUAGGUUCUGAAUUGGCUUCAAGCUUUUUGACUUUUAUGAUAUAUAUAUAACAAGCCUUUUGUAUUGUUCCAAAAUGAAUGAUGUCCAUAUGGUUAACAACCAACGCAAGAUUACAACAUAUGUUGGCUCAACAUGAAAAUGAACAACUAAAUUGUACCAAAAUCUGUUGUUUCUUGUUAUAUCAAACAACAGAAGUAACAAGUUAUCUAUAUUUCAAAUGUGCUUCAAACAACAUAAGAGUGAGUUUCUGACCUCAAUCAAACUACAUAAGUACAUGAUUUCAUAUAGUUAUAUUGUCUAUCAGACAACAUAAAUACUUAAAACAGUGGUUGAAAUACAAGACAAAAGACAUACAAAUAAAUU